Molecule: ribosomal RNA, 429 nt
Filed under: Chloroflexota bacterium
Lineage: Bacteria; Bacillati; Chloroflexota
Description: Chloroflexi bacterium partial 16S ribosomal RNA
Rfam family: Bacterial small subunit ribosomal RNA
Source: RNAcentral
UGGGGAAUAUUGCACAAUGGGCGCAAGCCUGAUGCAGCCAUGCCGCGUGUAUGAAGAAGGCCUUCGGGUUGUAAAGUACUUUCAGCGGGGAGGAAGGGAGUACAGUUAAUACCUUUGCUCAUUGACGUUACCCGCAGAAGAAGCACCGGCUAACUCCGUGCCAGCAGCCGCGGUAAUACGGAGGGUGCAAGCGUUAAUCGGAAUUACUGGGCGUAAAGCGCACGCAGGCGGUUUGUUAAGUCAGAUGUGAAAUCCUCGGGCUCAACCUGGGAACUGCAUCUGAUACUGGCAAGCUUGAGUCUCGUAGAGGGGGGUAGAAUUCCAGGUGUAGCGGUGAAAUGCGUAGAGAUGUGGAGGAAUACCGGUGGCGAAGGCGGCCCCCUGGACAAAGACUGACGCUCAGGUGCGAAAGCGUGGGGAGCAAACAGG